Molecule: unclassified non-coding RNA, 255 nt
Filed under: Hevea brasiliensis (rubber tree)
Lineage: Eukaryota; Viridiplantae; Streptophyta; Magnoliopsida; Malpighiales; Euphorbiaceae
Source: RNAcentral
GUUCAAUUCCUUAUUUUUCCAAACUCGAGUGCUCAGAAAUCCUCCAACUUUUCCCCCUAAUCAAACAGGAUUGAGCAGGUUUCGACUAUUCUAGUGCCGCCUUCCCUAUUUUUGACCCAGUUGUGCUCGAUUUGUUCGUUUGAAAACUCAACGAGGUUUUGAGCGGAUGAAUCCGUCGGGGUUUUAGGUUGUUAAGCUUCAUUCUCUGCCUCAAAGCUUUUGGGGUUUAAUUAACAAUGACCGAUCGCAUCAACA